CAGCAGAAGAAACUCCCAAGAAGAAAGAAAAAGAAGUCUAAGAAAGCCGAAGAGGAAGCGAUGGACGUAAAGGAAGAGGAAGAGGAGGCGACAGUCUCUCCCACAGAGGAAUCGUCAAAGAAGAAGAAAAAGAAGAAAAAGGUCAAGGAGGAAGA
This is a long non-coding RNA of Oncorhynchus masou masou (cherry salmon), 155 nucleotides long. RefSeq lists it as uncharacterized. The transcript is spliced from 2 exons. Lineage: Eukaryota; Metazoa; Chordata; Actinopteri; Salmoniformes; Salmonidae. The record is from RefSeq and is a predicted model, not a curated record.